GACGAAGGGGGCUAGCGUUGCUCGGAAUCACUGGGCGUAAAGGGUGCGUAGGCGGGUAUUUAAGUCAGAGGGGAAAUCCUGGAGCUCAACUCCAGAACUGCCUUUGAUACUGAGGAUCUUGAGUUCGGGAGAGGUGAGUGGAACUGCGAGUGUAGAGGUGAAAUUCGUAGAUAUUCGCAAGAACACCAGUGGCGAAGGCGGCUCACUGGCCCGAUACUGACGCUGAGGCACGAAAGCGUGGGGAGCAAACAGG
This 253-nucleotide ribosomal RNA is filed under the name uncultured bacterium. Its description in RNAcentral is "partial 16S ribosomal RNA". It matches the Rfam family "Bacterial small subunit ribosomal RNA", at positions 524 to 776 of the family's 1533-position model. The record is from RNAcentral.